ACGCGGAGGGACAUUACUGAGUUACCGCUCUACAACCCUUUGUGAACAUACCUAACCGUUGCUUCGGCGGGCAGGGGAAGCCUCUCGCGGGCCUCCCCUCCCGGCGCCGGCCCCACCACGGGGACGGGGCGCCCGCCGGAGGAAACCAAACUCUAUUUACACGACGUCUCUUCUGAGUGGCACAAGCAAAUAAUUAAAACUUUUAACAACGGAUCUCUUGGUUCUGGCAUCGAUGAAGAACGCAGCGAAAUGCGAUAAGUAAUGUGAAUUGCAGAAUUCAGUGAAUCAUCGAAUCUUUGAACGCACAUUGCGCUCGCCAGCAUUCUGGCGAGCAUGCCUGUUCGAGCGUCAUUUCAACCCUCAAGCACCGCUUGGUUUUGGGGCCCCACGGCAGACGUGGGCCCUUAAAGGUAGUGGCGGACCCUCCCGGAGCCUCCUUUGCGUAGUAACUAACGUCUCGCACUGGGAUCCGGAGGGACUCUUGCCGUAAAACCCCCAAAUUCUUUACAGGUUGACCUCGGAUCAGGUAGGAAUACCCG
This 539-nucleotide ribosomal RNA is filed under the name Colletotrichum acutatum. RNAcentral describes it as "eukaryotic LSU rRNA". The stretch from base 198 to 351 matches the Rfam family "5.8S ribosomal RNA". Lineage: Eukaryota; Fungi; Ascomycota; Sordariomycetes; Glomerellales; Glomerellaceae. The record is from RNAcentral.